CCCCCCCCGGUUAGUUUUCAGAAUAGGAGGAGCCAGGAAAAAAAUUGUUUGCUCACUGUUUCAGUUGUUUUCCUGUUCUCUAUAAAAUGUGGCUUUCUCUCUCUGUGUUAAAAAAAUGAUGAUACUCUUCUGACUGUGCUUGGAGGUAUUUUCCUUGCUUUCUUUAAACACAUUUUUUUCUGGUUGGUGAAAAGGCACUCUGCACGUGCUCAGUGGCAGCCUGUGACUCCGGAAGGAUGGAAACAAGCAGGCAGAAAUCCUUCAGAGCAACUUGCCUGGGGCCUAAUUAAACGAGCUAAAGGUGUGUCUAUGUGUGUGUAUCAUUAACCCUGUGCCCAGGUGUAGGUGUCAUAGCAUAUGUUUAGUGGAAUGCUUGGC
Molecule: non-coding RNA, 378 nt
Organism: Podarcis lilfordi (Lilford's wall lizard)
Lineage: Eukaryota; Metazoa; Chordata; Lepidosauria; Squamata; Lacertidae
Source: the annotation of a GenBank genome assembly